ACUAGUGACGUUGCGGUGUGGAGAAAGAAACUAUAACCUAACCUAAUUUUUCACCUUUUAACCCUUUCCACCGGGAGCUCUCGCCGGUACCCCAAUAGAGAGUUUGAUUACCGCAACGUCUUUAAUUUUGUUU
This 133-nucleotide non-coding RNA is filed under the name Solenopsis invicta (red fire ant). The record is from RNAcentral. Lineage: Eukaryota; Metazoa; Arthropoda; Insecta; Hymenoptera; Formicidae.